This 536-nucleotide small RNA is filed under the name Pan troglodytes (chimpanzee). RNAcentral describes it as "processed transcript". Lineage: Eukaryota; Metazoa; Chordata; Mammalia; Primates; Hominidae. The record is from RNAcentral.
GGUGUUUAAGGGACAGUGGAGAUCAUGCCACUUCAGACCUGGUGGAAGCAACCACUAAUAUAAACACCUCCCAUGUAUAGGAAGGCUGGAGUGGGAAUCCUUAACUCCGCCCCCUGCUCAGGGCACCAAUGCCUCUGCUCUGGAAAAAGACAUUGGUCCAGAGCAGUUUCCAAUCAAUGAACACUAUUUCGGAUUGGUCAAUUUUGGAAACACAUGCUACUGUAACUCCGUGCUUCAGGCAUUGUACUUCUGCCGUCCAUUCCGGGAGAAUGUGUUGGCAUACAAGGCCCAGCAAAAGAAGAAGGAAAACUUGCUGACGUGCCUGGCGGACCUUUUCCACAGCAUUGCCACGCAGAAGAAGAAGGUUGGCGUCAUCCCACCAAAGAAGUUCAUUUCAAGGCUGAGAAAAGAGAAUGAUCUCUUUGAUAACUACAUGCAGCAGGAUGCUCAUGAAUUUUUAAAUUAUUUGCUAAACACUAUUGCGGACAUCCUGCAGGAGGAGAAGAAACAGGAAAAACAAAAUGGAAAAUUAAAAA